This 558-nucleotide unclassified non-coding RNA is filed under the name Hevea brasiliensis (rubber tree). Lineage: Eukaryota; Viridiplantae; Streptophyta; Magnoliopsida; Malpighiales; Euphorbiaceae. The record is from RNAcentral.
CAAGUUAAUGUUGAGCGGCUUGGAGCAUGAUACGACUAAGGAGUUUGAUCUUAAGUUGCAGCCCGAAUUAGAUAUGAUGAAGAUAAAAGAUAAAAAGGAUAGAGGGACUCUUAAUAUCAAGGUAACAUACCACCAAUUCACUAAGGAGGAGCAACUACAGGCUCUUGAAGCCGAGAAAAUAAUAGUAGAAGAGAGGCGGAAACUGAAGGAGGCUGGGGUGAUUGGGAGCACAAUGGAUGCGCUAGGCGGGGCAGCAAACUUGGUUGGAUCAGGUGUUGGGCUUGUUGGUACGGGUCUUGGGGCUGGUGCUGGGCUGGUGGGGAGCGGACUGGGGGCGGUCGGAAGUGGCUUUAGCAAAGCAGGGAAGUUUAUGGGUAAGAGCCUGACCGGUGGUCGGAGGCCCGAAAGCUCGGCCAAAAGCUCCGGAGGAGGCAAUGCUAAUGGAAGCUAAACUUGAGCAUCUAGUCUCGUGACCGGCCAAAAGCUCAGGUGGGGGCAAUGCUAAUGGAAGCUAAACUUGAGCAUCUAGUCUCGUGACCGGCCAAAAGCUCAGGUGGG